GGGACAUCACUUCAAUCUUAGUACCUCUUCCUCAAUCAUGGUUUCCUUUCGGGGAGUAUUAAGUCACAUAAAACAGGAAACUCUUUGGAAAAGCAGCCCAGAAAUUGUUUGGGGAAGAUAUAUUAAAUUAAAGUACAAGUUGGAUUGAGACAUAGAGACACUGAAGAAAGAACAGAUGCGUG
Molecule: long non-coding RNA, 182 nt
Filed under: Gorilla gorilla gorilla (western lowland gorilla)
Lineage: Eukaryota; Metazoa; Chordata; Mammalia; Primates; Hominidae
Description: lncRNA (ENSGGOG00000044285.1)
Source: RNAcentral